UGCAUGGCUGUCGUCAGCUCGUGUCGUGAGAUGUUGGGUUAAGUCCCGCAACGAGCGCAACCCUUGCCAUCAGUUGCUACGAAAGGGCACUCUGAUGGGACUGCCGGUGACAAACCGGAGGAAGGUGGGGAUGACGUCAAGUCCUCAUGGCCCUUAUAGGUGGGGCUACACACGUCAUACAAUGGCCGGUACAAAGGGCAGCAAACCCGCAGGGGGAGCCAAUCCAUCAAAGCCGGUCGUAGUCCGGAUCGCAGUCUGCAACUCGACUGCGUGAAGUCGGAAUCGCUAGUAAUCGCGGAUCAGCAUGCCGCGGUGAAUACGUUCUCGGGCCUU
This 333-nucleotide ribosomal RNA is filed under the name uncultured Hydrogenophaga sp. Its description in RNAcentral is "bacterial SSU rRNA". It matches the Rfam family "Bacterial small subunit ribosomal RNA", at positions 1042 to 1382 of the family's 1533-position model. The record is from RNAcentral. Lineage: Bacteria; Pseudomonadati; Pseudomonadota; Betaproteobacteria; Burkholderiales; Comamonadaceae.